AACGGCGCAUGCGCCUACCGGCCCCGAGUCUUUCGCUGUCUUCCCCGUGCCGUUGCUCCUGAGAACGAGGCUAGGGGCAAGGCGCGGGGAGGGCGGGCGCUGUGGGAGCCCUCCAAGGGGCUGAGAGAGUGUAAUUCCAAUAAGUGUCAGAGGUACAGGCCAACGUAAGCAAGCUUAGGCUGAAUGGGAGAUGACCAAAGAAAACCCAGCAGUUUCAGGAAGCAGUGCGGAUGAUGCAAUAUGUAACUAUUUAAAUAUUUAUCAACAAUGGAAGUCAUUGGUCCAGAGAGAGAAAGUGUGGAAUGACUCUGUAGCCUGGUGCCUAGGGCACUCAAUCUGACAGGGAACUCGGAACCAUGCUGAAGGAGAAGAAUAUCCAAACAAUCUUCUCUGAGAUCCUUCCUGCCCCACAAGCAAAGGAACACCCAAGGCAGAAGAUGCUGGAAGUAAAUCUUGCUUGCUAGGUUAUUGUUCCAUGUCAUUUACAGACUUUCAUACAAACUACUAUCAAAGACGCAAAUUGGAUCUGGCUUGGACUCAUCAUUACAUCCCCCAAGAGGAAAAGGAUUUGAGUGGAUGGCUCCCUCUUAAAUCAAACACUGUUGAAGGUAGUGGAUCCUGCUGAAAGGAACAGCUGUGGGGUGAUAAAAGCAGAUGAUAAUCAUUUUGAAAGCUGCACUACUGUAUCUAAAUGAAUUUGUGAAAAAGACACUCUCCUGAUAUAGACAGAGACAUUAGUGAUCUGCACUUCUGUGUGUGAACGAUAAAUCUUCUUUAGUUUCAGUCUGUCACAUGAAUGAUGAAUAUUGAAGGGUCCUCAGACAGCGAGGGAAGACAGCAGACAAGGAAAAUCUGCAUUUCAGGGAACAGAGGUGAGACGAAACAGCACAGAACUUUUCACCCCCAGACAUCAUGUCGCCUUCUUUACUGUUUGAAUAAACUUUGCUUUGAGGCAUGACCUUCAGGAAAAUGCAUCUCAAAGGGGCACUCGACUAUAAAAGUGAAGGGCAAAAAUAUCCCAAAUUCUGUCUUCCUCUCAAUCACCCUCUUUUCACCUAAGAGGGCAAAAGAAAGAGCCAUGGGACAUUUGGAAGCAGAUCCUGGCCUGAGAGUUUGGGCAGCAAUGUUACUGUGAACCUGUGGCAAGGGAUGUCACCUUGUACCAAGUCUAGGUUGUUUAGUGUAGAA
Long non-coding RNA from Mauremys reevesii (Reeves's turtle), 1188 nucleotides. RefSeq lists it as uncharacterized. The transcript is spliced from 6 exons. Lineage: Eukaryota; Metazoa; Chordata; Testudines; Geoemydidae. The record is from RefSeq and is a predicted model, not a curated record.